GACGAACGCUGGCGGCGUGCCUAAUACAUGCAAGUAGAACGCUGAAGGAGGAGCUUGCUUCUCUGGAUGAGUUGCCAACGGGUGAGUAACGCGUAGGUAACCUGCCUGGUAGCGGGGGAUAACUAUUGGAAACGAUAGCUAAUACCGCAUAAUAGUAGAUGUUGCAUGACAUUUGCUUAAAAGGUGCAAUUGCAUCACUACCAGAUGGACCUGCGUUGUAUUAGCUAGUUGGUGGGGUAACGGCUCACCAAGGCGACGAUACAUAGCCGACCUGAGAGGGUGAUCGGCCACACUGGGACUGAGACACGGCCCAGGCUCCUACGGGAGGCAGCAGUAGGGAAUCUUCGGCAAUGGACGGAAGUCUGACCGAGCAACGCCGCGUGAGUGAAGAAGGUUUUCGGAUCGUAAAGCUCUGUUGUAAGAGAAGAACGAGUGUGAGAGUGGAAAGUUCACACUGUGACGGUAUCUUACCAGAAAGGGACGGCUAACUACGUG
Molecule: ribosomal RNA, 495 nt
Filed under: uncultured bacterium
Lineage: Bacteria
Description: partial 16S ribosomal RNA
Rfam family: Bacterial small subunit ribosomal RNA
Source: RNAcentral